GAUGAACGCUAGCGGCGUGCCUAAUACAUGCAAGUCGAACGCGAGAGGAGGGAGCUUGCUCCCUCUGAUCGAGUGGCGGACGGGUGAGUAACACGUAGGCAACCUGCCCAUCAGUCCGGGAUAACCGCGGGAAACCGUGGCUAAUACCGGAUGAUCCUCUCCACCGCGGGGUGGGGAGUUGAAAGACGGUUUCGGCUGUCGCUGAUGGAUGGGCCUGCGGCGCAUUAGCUGGUUGGCGGGGUAACGGCCCACCAAGGCAACGAUGCGUAGCCGGCCUGAGAGGGUGAGCGGCCACACUGGGACUGGGACACGGCCCAGACUCCUACGGGAGGCAGCAGUAGGGAAUCUUCCGCAAUGGACGCAAGUCUGACGGGGCAACGCCGCGUGAGUGAAGAAGGGCUUCGGCUCGUAAAACUCUGUUGUUAAGGAAGAACGACAGGUAGAGUAACUGCUACCUGUGUGACGGUACUUAACCAGAAAGCCACGGCUAACUACGUGCCAGCCGCCGCGGUAA
This 514-nucleotide ribosomal RNA is filed under the name uncultured bacterium. RNAcentral's name for it is "partial 16S ribosomal RNA". It matches the Rfam family "Bacterial small subunit ribosomal RNA", at positions 28 to 523 of the family's 1533-position model. The record is from RNAcentral.